GAUGAACGCUGGCGGCGUGCCUAAUACAUGCAAGUCGAGCGAACAGACGAGGAGCUUGCUCCUCUGACGUUAGCGGCGGACGGGUGAGUAACACGUGGAUAACCUACCUAUAAGACUGGGAUAACUUCGGGAAACCGGAGCUAAUACCGGAUAAUAUAUUGAACCGCAUGGUUCAAUAGUGAAAGACGGUUUUGCUGUCACUUAUAGAUGGAUCCGCGCCGCAUUAGCUAGUUGGUAAGGUAACGGCUUACCAAGGCAACGAUGCGUAGCCGACCUGAGAGGGUGAUCGGCCACACUGGAACUGGGACACGGUCCAGACUCCUACGGGAGGCAGCAGUAGGGAAUCUUCCGCAAUGGGCGAAAGCUUGACGGAGCAACGCCGUGUGAGUGAUGAAGGUCUUCGGAUCGUAAAACUCUGUUAUUAGGGAAGAACAAAUGUGUAAGUAACUAUGCACGUCUUGACGGUACCUAAUCAGAAAGCCACGGCUAACUACGUG
RNAcentral lists this ribosomal RNA (497 nucleotides) under uncultured bacterium. RNAcentral's name for it is "partial 16S ribosomal RNA". It matches the Rfam family "Bacterial small subunit ribosomal RNA", at positions 28 to 507 of the family's 1533-position model. The record is from RNAcentral.